AACGAACGCUGGCGGCAUGCCUAACACAUGCAAGUCGAACGAAGUCUUCGGACUUAGUGGCGCACGGGUGCGUAACGCGUGGGAAUCUGCCCUUGGGUGCGGAAUAACUUCUCGAAAGGGAUGCUAAUACCGCAUAAUGUCGUAAGACCAAAGAUUUAUCGCCCAAGGAUGAGCCCGCGUAAGAUUAGCUAGUUGGUGGGGUAAAAGCCUACCAAGGCGACGAUCUUUAGCUGGUCUGAGAGGAUGAUCAGCCACACUGGGACUGAGACACGGCCCAGACUCCUACGGGAGGCAGCAGUGGGGAAUAUUGGACAAUGGGCGAAAGCCUGAUCCAGCAAUGCCGCGUGAGUGAUGAAGGCCCUAGGGUUGUAAAGCUCUUUUACCCGAGAUGAUAAUGACAGUAUCGGGAGAAUAAGCUCGGCUAACUCCGUGCCAGCAGCCGACGGUAA
This 449-nucleotide ribosomal RNA is filed under the name uncultured bacterium. Its description in RNAcentral is "bacterial SSU rRNA". It matches the Rfam family "Bacterial small subunit ribosomal RNA", at positions 29 to 523 of the family's 1533-position model. The record is from RNAcentral.